UAUGCCCCAUCUGGGAGCACGCAGCCAGCCCCUGGGGCUGGAGCCCACCUGGAAUGCUCUCUUUUUCCACGGGGGGUAGGGAACGAAGCCGACUGCCCGCCCUGGGAAAUGCGAUGUAAGAACCGGGAAGCAAACAAUAACGGUCCUCAGCUGGCGUCACAGACUGCUCCACCCGCCAGGACACAGGCAAGGAGCUGGAAAGCCAAGAACUCUAAGGAGGGGCGAAGCUGCGAGACCCGGGGCCGGGGAAAGAUCGGCUCUGGCCCGAGAAGAACUGUGCCUGCAGGAAGGGCUAAGAUCCCGGGUCCAGUUCUGAGGUCCACUACUCAAGACGGGUGUAGAUACCCUUGGAGACAAUCCAGAUGAGAGCCUUGAAAAUGAGUAAAGGGUUAAAACCUGCCUCGUAGUGAUACACACAAAGAGCUCCCUCUGCUUCGUGUAACAAAGAGAAGUUAAGACCCGUAAAUCAAACGCUGAGGUCAGCUCUGGCCAGCGCCUUUACUCUUGGCAGUCGGGAGGAGUAAGAGAAACUGAUGGGAGCGUGAAGACGGUGCAAGGUUGGUUUAAGGUAAGCCGACGCCAGCUAUGAAUUCUAUGUAGUGGAGCUGCGAACCUUAACCCGACCUUCCAGGUGUAGUGUAGCCCUGGCCCCAGAGUUCAGUCUCCACAGAUUCUCAGCACGGACUAUCCAGGUCUGCCUCCCCACCUUCAAGUCCCAAAAGGAACCAAAGAAACGAAUUCAAUGACUUAUGAUGCAGAAAUGAAUAAUCUAGUUUUACAACAUAACCGAGCUAUUUGAUAACCCCCCGACACUGUCUCCACAGUUCUAAAGAGAAACCAACAGCAAAACAGGAAGAGUUUGGUCCACACUGAACACAGUAAGAAGAAACUGAGAGACCCCAAAAGCUUAGGGUUAGUUCACCCAAGUCUCUGGGAGCGUCUCUGAUCACCAGAACUGCACCAUUUGCUGAGUCUGAAUCAUCUUCCUACCACUUGCUUGUAGGGAUCCUCAGUUGGAAUCCAGGCUGACUCUUCCGCUUCUGCGGAUCCUGUGAGCCAGCUACUCACUGGUUAACCAGUCACUCGGUUAAGGCACAAGGGCAUACUUUAAAGCAGUGAUUCCCAAUCUUUUUCCCAUGGAGGAACCCCUAAAAUAAUUUUUCAUAUCCCGAGGAACCCCUACCUAUGAAAACGUUUGCUUGGCCAAAAAAAGU
Non-coding RNA from Pelodiscus sinensis (Chinese soft-shelled turtle), 1214 nucleotides. Lineage: Eukaryota; Metazoa; Chordata; Testudines; Trionychidae. The record is from RefSeq and is a predicted model, not a curated record.